AUGGCCUUAAGUUAAUAAAACUGAAAGUUUUCAAAACUUUCAAUGUCUUGCACAGGCCAUG
Molecule: transfer RNA, 61 nt
Filed under: Sabella spallanzanii
Lineage: Eukaryota; Metazoa; Annelida; Polychaeta; Sabellida; Sabellidae
Description: tRNA-Trp
Source: RNAcentral